RNAcentral lists this long non-coding RNA (4397 nucleotides) under Nicotiana benthamiana. RNAcentral's name for it is "long non-coding RNA (NBEN_LNC003546)". The record is from RNAcentral. Lineage: Eukaryota; Viridiplantae; Streptophyta; Magnoliopsida; Solanales; Solanaceae.
AGACCUGGUACCUUGUCUCAAAACACCCUAAUAUACGCUAGCAUAACGCCACCGUUCCUCCACUGUCUCCCACCGUCCACCGCCAGCUGGAAAUUGCCUCUGCCGCCGGCAAUACUCCGAUGACCCCCAAAACUACACCACAUCACAUCCUCGACCUCCUCUUUCCAUUUCUGUCAUUAGUGUCCCUCGAACAUAAGCCAAUCUUGUCGAACAAUUGUUUGAAUCGAUGGCUGCUCGCCGCACACCGCGGCGCCGAUGGCAAAUGACUCCAAAAAACCAUAGGUUCUCCGAACCUCCCUCAUCCCAAAUCUGUAAACCUUAGCCCUCGAAUGUCAGCCGAGCUCCUCGAAUGUUAAAUUGAAAUCUCCGGCCAAAUCUCACCAACCUCCAAACCUCUUCAAAAUCAUACCCUAUGGUCUCCUUGAUCGCCUCACCCCAAAUUCCAAACUAAAAUCCCUCAAACCCGGUUGGAAUCCCACCAAUUUUGGAUCUUGGGUUUCAUUUUAAAGAGGUCUAACCCUGAAUGGAUUUUUAAAUAUGCAAGUGAUCCCAAGUUAAUGUGAUUUGUUUGUUUUUGGCAAAAUAAACAUAUAACAUUAGCUUAGGAUCAAAUACAAGGUCAAUUCAAGUUGCGACCUAAAAAAGUGAGUUCUGAUCCUUUUCUUUCUUUCUUUGUUCUUUCUUUUUAUUUGCAUGUUUCUUCUGUCGUUCCUUUGCAUAUUUUCUUUUGCUUUUGGUUGAAUUAGAAUUUUUUGAUUUAGGUCUCUGAUUUUCAUAUAUUACAGCCGUAUAGUGUUAGUUUGUCCAUAUUUUGGAUUUGAUUAUGUGUUUUGACUUUGAGUAAAUGUCCAUGCUUGCCACUGAUUUUCUUUAGAUUUUUAGUAUUAUAGUUUUAUUGACCAUAUACUGGCUGUUAAUUUUCCCUAGAUUUUAGUUAGUUUCAUAGUACAACUGCAUGUGUGAGUUAUUAAUUUGUUCAUCUAUUUCUUCUGUUAGUUCAGUGAUUAGUUCAAGUGAUAAAAAACAGCUUUAAUACAUGGCACUAUUUAGAGUUAAUUUUCAGGUAGGUUAGUUAGAUUAGUUCAGUCUUUAGGAUUCGUUUUGGUAUGGCUGAGCAUGACCAGAUUAGUUUUAAAUUAACCUUAGUCAUUGUUGAUCAAGUUCAAGGGCUUAGGAUUAAUUGACUUAGCCUUAAGUUAAUCACUAACUCAAUUAAGCUACUCCUGCAAUUAUUUCUUUAGGUUUUAGUUUUCAAAUCUAGGUAAAUAACCUAUUUAGAUUGGGAAUGGUCUUUGACCCAAUUGGCUAAGCUUCAGCCUAUCCAAAUUGGAUUUGGGCCACUGGGUCAGACCUUGGCCCAUUUGAGGAAGGUCUCAGGGGUAUAUAUUGGUUAUCUCAAGGGUAGUUUGGGUAGUUUACAUAAAGGAUCUUGCAGUAACCAAUUUGGAACACCCUAGAACCUUCUAGAUUAGGUUUUAAUUAGAAUUUCAGAAAGUUAGUGGUAUAACUUGGGCAACAAGCCAAUAACUAAGGGACUAACUAAGCAAGAACUGAAAAUAAAGGAGGGACUUAGGUUGUAAAGUGAAAUCUGAAAGUUGCCAUCGGCUUUGCCUAUAAAAGGGAUACCCUUUGCCUUGUUUUAGGGGAUUUUUGGAUUUUUAUUAUUUUUGGCCUAAAAAAAAUUCUGAAAAAAAUCACAUAAAAAAAAUUCUUAGAGGUCAGAGAUCCAAAAUUUAAAAAAAAUAAAUCAAUAUCCCGUUGAGUUUUCUUAGGGAGAUCCUGAAGUUCUAAGUUCUGAGUUAGAUUUCCAGCUUAUCUAAGGGUUGAAAAUGGCUUGAAUUCUCGGGUGAUUCAGUAAUCGUGGUUUUCAGAAGUUCCUGGAGUCAUUCCUGGGUUUACUUGAGUUUAUUCAAGUUGUUUUUUUUUGUGUUGUUCAUUGGUGUUAUUUGAGUAAAAUUACUGCCUGGGCUACCUGAUAGUAUUUUCUGGGUGGAAUUACUUCAAAACUGCUGUUAAUUGCUGUGUGCUGCUGCUACUUAGCCGAACUUCGAUUUUUCUCUCAUUUUUGUUCAAAUUCUAGGUACACAUUAUGUAGCUCUCAAGUUUGGAAAUAAAAAUGAAAUGCUGCCUGAUUUCCUUGUUGAUUUUCACUGUUGUGUUUUUAGGAGUUUCAGAACUUCAGUAGAUCUUCAUUUGUAACUGAACUGUUCAGGACUGUAUAAUACUUUAAAAGAUUCCAUUUCCUUCUCAUAAUCAUAUGAACAUUGCAUUUAGAAGUGUUAUAUUCAAAUUAGAUUGAGUUUGAUGUUUAUGUUACCGUGUAUUAGUUUGAAAUCAGAAAUUCAAAAGCAGUGUGUUGAUUCAAAAAUGAUGUGUUAAUUCAAAAUCAGAAGUUAGCCAUGGUUUCGCCUAUGAUUCUAAUGUUAGAAGUCACUCGAAUGAGCUGGAAAUUUUCAGUUGUUUAAGCCUAGGAAUGUAAUGGCCUUGUUUGAAUCUCAUGUUAUAUAGUUCAUUAGUCUAUUAGAUACAUAUGACUCAUAUUCUAUUUGUAUACUUGUAUGAGAGGUUUUAUCUCAAACGUACAUCAUCAGUUGUUCUUUCAAAUUUUAAGCUGUGUUUCCAACGAACCAGAAAUUAAGUCUGGAUAUUGGUUUGUAAAUUAAAAUUUGCAGUUUAAAUCAUUCAUUACUUAUGCUUAAUAUUUUUACAUCUUGGUCAAAUAAUUAGUACAUGUGCUUAGCUAAAGCAGCUUUGAAUUUAAAAUGCUUGUUAAAUCGGAUUUGUCUGCUUAGUUAACUUGUAUCACAUGAUUUGAAUGAUUUUCAGGAACCUGUUAAUUAGCCUUCCUAUUUCAUGAGAACGUGUGCUUUAGUAUUGUAUUUUGGACCAUGGUUUUAUCAGGUCACGAGAACCAGGCCUAAUGAAGGCCCAGUCAUGACCGGUGCCAUUUUGAGUGUACAUCUUUGGGCUUGGCUCCAAUUGGCGCCCAUUUUAUAUCUCAAAUUUCAUCUAAAGUAGGAAUGUAUUUGUAUUGAUGGUUGGACCUUUGGUUCAUUCAUGCUGAGCCCAAAGAUUGAGCCCCAUAAGUUAUUUUCACACCUGAAUCACAGAUGGAUCUGAGUACUGUGGCUUGUUUGGGCCACUGGCAUACUUAGUUAUAGUUAAUUGAUUAGGACUCAUUUCAACAAUUGGUUUUAGUCCAUAACUAGAUCACAAAUAGUUCAGGGCAUUCCAUGUGCUAAUAUAAAUGUCCUUUUAAAAUAAAUAUGACUUGCGCCGCGCUAAAUAAAAAUCAUAAAUUGCGUGGCCCUCUUUAAUUAUCUCCAUUAAAAUAUUUAGAAAUUGGGCGGCCAUUUAGCGAAUUUUCAUGGCCUCCCGCAAAGUUAAUAAUGUGUUAGUCGCUUUAGGAACGCUCCUUAAUAAUUUUACCUUCCUAAAUUCUGGUCCGCAUUUAUGUGACCCAAAUUCAAAUCUCAACGGUGUUAAAAGUUAUCAAAAAUCACGGGUGCAUUUAUGUGACGUGAUUCGGGACGCAUUUUAAUAUUGUUGCAAUCUUCCUCAAAAAUUCAAUUAAAAGCAGUAAGUAAUUUUAAAAUUGCACUAUAGGAUAAACAUGUCUAAAAUCAUAUAAUUAGCCAAAUAUGAUAGUUUAAGCGAUCGUGCUAGAACCACGGAAUCUGAGGGUACCUAACACAUUCCCUUGGGUUAAUAGAACUCAUUACUCAAGAACUUCUGGUUCGCAGACCUCAAUCGGAAAUUCGAAAAUUUCCUCGCUUUUGGAUUCAAGAUAAAUCGAUGACUUGGGACACCAAAAUCCAAACCUAUCCCAAAUGGAGACUCUGAAAUAAAUAAAUAAUCCAAAUUCGAAUAAUGUCACUUAUAGUGGAAAAAUUCCCUUAUGCAUUUAUCCUACGAGGUAGGUGUGUAAAAAAGGAGGUGUUAAAAAGAAGUCAACAAUGAAAGGCCUACAAAGGCGAAAUAAAGAUGGAAAAGGUUAAGUCCCACGCGACUAGCCGUUGCAGCAAAGUUUGAGGAGACAAAAGUUCCCAAUGUUCCGAAGAAAAGAAAAGAAAAGAAAAAGAAAAAAAACGACAAUCAGAAAGGAAAGGCCUACGAAGGCAAAAUAAAGUUGAAAGCUGAGUUCUACCGACCAACCAUCAUGGAAAAGUCUGAAAAACAUUAGAGGUUCUCCAGAGCCUGAUAUGAAUCAAUCCUUAGGGAGCAAAUAGUAGCAGCAGAGGAUCUCAAUAGAAGUUGGGCCGGGAUCAAGCAAUCAAGGCCACAGAACCAACCACCAUCUCAAACUAACAAUUGUUAUUUGUUGAAAAUUGAAACAGGUGCGAUACGAGAAACCGUGUAAAAGCAGGUGCAGUCAAAAGGAAAAUGCGCAAGUGACG